UAUCAUGGCUCAGGAUGAACGCUAGCGACAGGCUUAACACAUGCAAGUCGAGGGGCAUCAUGAGGUAGCAAUACCUUGAUGGCGACCGGCGCACGGGUGAGUAACGCGUAUGCAACCUGCCCGAUACCGGGGUAUAGCCCAUGGAAACGUGGAUUAACACCCCAUAGUACUUUUAUCCUGCCUGGGAUGGGAGUUAAAUGUUCAAGGUAUCGGAUGGGCAUGCGUCCUAUUAGUUAGUUGGG
This 242-nucleotide ribosomal RNA is filed under the name uncultured bacterium. Its description in RNAcentral is "partial 16S ribosomal RNA". It matches the Rfam family "Bacterial small subunit ribosomal RNA", at positions 15 to 253 of the family's 1533-position model. The record is from RNAcentral.